This 107-nucleotide small nucleolar RNA is filed under the name Olea europaea subsp. europaea. Lineage: Eukaryota; Viridiplantae; Streptophyta; Magnoliopsida; Lamiales; Oleaceae. The record is from RNAcentral.
GAUCCAUGAUUUGGGCACUUUCUGAGCAUGUCCUUAAACGUCUCACAAGGCUCAUGAAAGCUUUCCAUGUCAAGUUGUUGAAAGGUGGUUAUAGCAUGCUUGAGCUU